This 201-nucleotide long non-coding RNA is filed under the name Nicotiana benthamiana. RNAcentral describes it as "long non-coding RNA (NBEN_LNC004601)". Lineage: Eukaryota; Viridiplantae; Streptophyta; Magnoliopsida; Solanales; Solanaceae. The record is from RNAcentral.
UAUUAUUUGAUUUUGUCUUGCUUGUGUUUCUAAUUUUGUCUCUGUUUCUUAAUGCGGCUUUCUCAUUUUUACUCUACUCGCCGAGGGUCGAUUGGAAGCAGCCUCUCUGCCCUUUCGGGCAGGGGUAAGGCUCGUCUACAUAUUACCCUCCCCAGACCCCACCUGGUGGGAGUAUACUGGGUAGUUGUUGUUGUUGUUGUA